This 520-nucleotide ribosomal RNA is filed under the name alpha proteobacterium SOGA12. RNAcentral's name for it is "bacterial SSU rRNA". It matches the Rfam family "Bacterial small subunit ribosomal RNA", at positions 33 to 586 of the family's 1533-position model. The record is from RNAcentral. Lineage: Bacteria; Pseudomonadati; Pseudomonadota; Alphaproteobacteria.
ACCUGGCGGCAGGCCUAACACAUGCAAGUCGAACGAGAAGCAGUCCUUCGGGAUUGUGGAAAGUGGCAGACGGGUGAGUAACGCGUGGGAAUCUACCCAGUGGUACGGAAUAACUCAGGGAAACUUUGGGCUAAUACCGUAUGAGCCCUUCGGGGGAAAGUUUAUCGCCAUUGGAUGAGCCCGCGUCUGAUUAGCUUGUUGGUGGGGUAACGGCCCACCAAGGCGACGAUCAGUAGCUGGUCUGAGAGGAUGAUCAGCCACACUGGGACUGAGACACGGCCCAGACUCCUACGGGAGGCAGCAGUUGGGGAAUAUUUGGACAAUGGGCGCAAGCCUGAUCCAGCCAUGCCGCGUGAGUGAUGAAGGCCCUAGGGUUGUAAAGCUCUUUCGCCUGUGAAGAUAAUGACGGUAGCAGGUAAAGAAACCCCGGCUAACUCCGUUCCAGCAGCCGCGGUAAUACGGAGGGGGUUAGCGUUGUUCGGAAUUACUGGGCGUAAAGCGCACGUAGGCGGACUGGAAA